GAUGAACGCUGACAGAAUGCUUAACACAUGCAAGUCGACUGGAAUUUACCUUCGGGUAAUAGUACGGUGGCGGACGGGUGAGUAACGCGUAAAGAACUUGCCCUCUAGACUGGGACAACUGUUGGAAACGGCAGCUAAUACCGGAUAUUAUGAGAGUCUCGCAUGAGAAACUUAUGAAAGGCUAUAUGCGCUAGAGGAGAGCUUUGCGUGCCAUUAGGUAGUUGGUAGGGUAAUGGCCUACCAAGCCGACGAUGGCUAGCCGGCCUGAGAGGGUGAUCGGCCACAAGGGGACUGAGACACGGCCCUUACUCCUACGGGAGGCAGCAGUGGGGAAUAUUGGACAAUGGACCAAAAGUCUGAUCCAGCAAUUCUGUGUGCACGAUGAAGGUUUUCGGAUCGUAAAGUGCUUUCAGGUGGGAAGAAAAAAAUGACGGUACCACCAGAAGAAGCGACGGCUAAAUACGUGCCAGCAGCCGCGGUAAUACGUAUGUCGCAAGCGUUAUCCGGAAUUAUUGGGCGUAAAGCGCGUCUAGGCGGCCUUUUAAGUCUGAUGUGAAAAUGCGGGGCUCAACUCCGUAUUGCGUUGGAAACUGGAAGGCUAGAGUAUCAGAGAGGUGGGCGGAACUACAAGUGUAGAGGUGAAAUUCGUAGAUAUUUGUAGGAAUGCCGAUUGGGAAGCCAGCUCACUGGAUGAAUACUGACGCUGAAGCGCGAAAGCGUGGGGAGCAAACGGGAUUAGAUACCCCGGUAGUCCACGCCGUAAACGAUGAUCACUAAGUGUGGGGGGUCGAACCUCCGUGCUCAAGCUAACGCGAUAAGUGAUCCGCCUGGGGAGUACGCACGCAAGUGUGAAACUCAAAGGAAUUGACGG
Molecule: ribosomal RNA, 871 nt
Filed under: uncultured Fusobacterium sp.
Lineage: Bacteria; Fusobacteriati; Fusobacteriota; Fusobacteriia; Fusobacteriales; Fusobacteriaceae
Description: bacterial SSU rRNA
Rfam family: Bacterial small subunit ribosomal RNA
Source: RNAcentral